GAAACGACUGCUAAGACUGGAUAGGAAACAAAAAGGCAUCUUUUUGUUUUUAAAAGACCUUCUUACGAAGGUAUGCUUAAAGAGGGGCUUGCGCCACAUUAGUUAGUUGGUAGGGUAAAAGCCUACCAAGACGAUGAUGUGUAGCUGGACUGAGAGGUUGAACAGCCACAUUGGGACUGAGACACGGCCCAAACUCCUACGGGAGGCAGCAGUAGGGAAUUUUCGGCAAUGGAGGAAACUCUGACCGAGCAACGCCGCGUGAACGAUGAAGUAUUUCGGUAUGUAAAGUUCUUUUAUUGAAGAAGAAAAAGUAGUGGAAAAACUAUAUUGACGUUAUUCAAUGAAUAAGCCCCGGCUAACUAUGUGCCAGCAGCCGCGGUAAGACAUAGGGGGCGAGCGUUAUCCGGAAUUAUUGGGCGUAAAGGGUGCGUAGGCUGUUAGAUAAGUCUAUAAUUUAAUUUCAGUGCUUAACGCUGUCUUGUUAUAGAAACUGUCUUGACUAGAGUGAGAUAGAGGCAAGCGGAAUUCCAUGUGUAGCGGUAAAAUGUGUAAAUAUAUGGAGGAACACCAGAAGCGUAGGCGGCUUGCUGGGUCUUUACUGACGCUGAGGCACGAAAGCGUGGGUAGCAAACAGGAUUAGAUACCCUGGUAGUCCACGCCGUAAACGAUGAGUACUAAGUGUCGGGGUAAAACUCGGUACUGAAGUUAACACAUUAAGUACUCCGCCUGAGUAGUACGUACGCAAGUAUGAAACUUAAAGGAAUUGACGGGACUCCGCACAAGCGGUGGAUCAUGUUGUUUAAUUCGAAGAUACACGAAAAAUCUUACCAGGUCUUGACAUACUCUGCAAAGCUAUAGAAAUAUAGUGGAGGUUAUCAGGGAUACAGGUGGUGCAUGGUUGUCGUCAGUUCGUGUCGUGAGAUGUUAGGUUAAGUCCUAAAACGAGCGCAACCCUUGUCGUUAAUUGCCAGCACGUAAUGGUGGGGACUUUAGCGAGACUGCCAAUUAAACAUUGGAGGAAGGUGAGGAUUACGUCAAAUCAUCAUGCCCCUUAUGAUCUGGGCUACAAACGUGAUACAAUGGCUGUGACAAAGAGUAGCUGAAACGCGAGUUUUUAGCCAAUCUCAAAAAAGCAGUCUCAGUUCGGAUUGAAGUCUGUAACUCGACUUCAUGAAGUUGGAAUCGCUAGUAAUCGCGAAUCAGCAUGUCGCGGUGAAUACCUUCCCGGGGUUUGUACACACCGCCCGUCAAAUCACGA
This 1258-nucleotide ribosomal RNA is filed under the name Candidatus Phytoplasma trifolii. RNAcentral describes it as "bacterial SSU rRNA". It matches the Rfam family "Bacterial small subunit ribosomal RNA", at positions 153 to 1407 of the family's 1533-position model. The record is from RNAcentral. Lineage: Bacteria; Bacillati; Mycoplasmatota; Mollicutes; Acholeplasmatales; Acholeplasmataceae.